Molecule: non-coding RNA, 1691 nt
Organism: Plectropomus leopardus (leopard coralgrouper)
Lineage: Eukaryota; Metazoa; Chordata; Actinopteri; Perciformes; Serranidae
Source: the annotation of a RefSeq genome assembly
UGCUGACUAGCUAGCCUAAUCUCAAAAACCAACAAACCAAAAUUAAUAAACCUAAAAACACGAACAACCAACUUAAACAAACCAUUUUCCAUCACCUAAAUUACGGGCGACAGAAAAGGACUACCAGAGCUAUAGAAAAAGUACCGUAAGGGAACGCUGAAAAAAUGACCAAGAUAGCCUAGUGAUAACAUCAAAAUCCCCUUUUAGAGCCCGUACCUUUUGCAUCAUGAUUUAGCCAGCUCGUCCAAGCAAAGGGCAUCUUUAGUUUGGCAACCCCGAAACUAGUGUGAGCUACUUCAAGACAGCCUAAUUAUUUAGGGCAAACCCGUCUCUGUGGCAAAAGAGUGGGAAGAGCUUUGAGUAGUGGUGACAGACCUACCGAACUUAGUUAUAGCUGGUUGCUCGGGAACUGAAUAGAAGUUCAGCCUCACGGCUUCUCCCUUCUUAUCUUGAAGAACCCACAAUUUUGCCUUGACAAAGCAAUGUAGUUCGCGCUUUUUACUAGUGUCUUAUAAGAAAGUGACAGAACGUUAAAGAUCAUAAUUACAGAAGGUAAAAUAUUCGGGUGGGCCUAAAAGCAGCCAUCCCUCCAAUUCUCCCCGACCAUCACACUUCUUACCCUAAUUACAUAUCUCCUGAUAACCACCUCAACAUUCCUUGUCUUCAAACUAAACAAAGCAACAAACAUGAGUAACAAGAGGAUUUAUUUUAUCUGCGCUCCUCUCCCAGCACACGUGUACAUCGAAACGGACCAACCACCGAAAUUUAACGGCCCCAAACAAAGAGGGAACUGGAUAAGAAUUUAAAAUACUAGAAAAACAACCACCCAUAAACCGUUAACCCCACACAGGAAUGCUUCUAGGGAAAGACUAAAAGGAAGAGAAGGAACUCGGCAAACACAACAAAAGCCUCGCCUGUUUACCAAAAACACCGCCUCUUGUAAAAGAAGAAAAAUAAGAGGUCCCGCCUGCCCUGUGACUAUAUGUUUAACGGCCGCGGUAUUUUGACCGUGCGAAGGUAGCGCAAUCACUUGUCUUUUAAAUGGAGACCUGUAUGAAUGGCAAGACGAAGGCUUAACUGUCUCCUUUUCCAAGUCAAUGAAAUUGAUCUACCCGUGCAGAAGCGGGUAUAAUAACAUAAGACGAGAAGACCCUAUGGAGCUUCAGACACUAAAGUAGAUCAUACCCUCUGUAAUUAAACAAAAACAAUGCAAGCCUAAUGAUACCUCCCCUAAUGUCUUUGGUUGGGGCGACCAUGGGGAAACAAAAAACCCCCACAUGGAGUGGGCACACAGUUCCUAUAAACAAGAGCCACAGCUCUAAUUACCAGUAUUUUUGACCAAUAAAGAUCCGGCAAUGCCGAUUAAUGAACCAAGUUACCCUAGGGAUAACAGCGCAAUCCCCUUUAAGAGUCCAUAUCGACAAGGGGGUUUACGACCUCGAUGUUGGAUCAGGACAUCCUAAUGGUGCAGCCGCUAUUAAGGGUUCGUUUGUUCAACGAUUAACAGUCCUACGUGAUCUGAGUUCAGACCGGAGAAAUCCAGGUCGGUUUCUAUCUAUGAAGUGAGCUUUUCUAGUACGAAAGGAUCGAGAAGAGGGGGCCAAUGCUUAAAGCACGCCUCACCCUUACCUAAUGCAGGCAACUAAAUUAGGCAAGAGGGCACGAUCCUCUUCGUCGGAGAAAAACGACAU